This 428-nucleotide small RNA is filed under the name Histoplasma ohiense. RNAcentral describes it as "hypothetical lncRNA". The record is from RNAcentral. Lineage: Eukaryota; Fungi; Ascomycota; Eurotiomycetes; Onygenales; Ajellomycetaceae.
GCAGACGAACAUGGUGCCUUCAAUGCCGCUCUUCUCCCACAGCUGCGUUGUAGCGCUGAAAUUGUAGACUACGGCGUACGGGGCUAGGGAAAGGAUGGAGAGGAUGUCUGGAUAGUGGCGCCGGAGGACGGCCAAGUUCAGCUCUUCGUUCGUGCGCGUUGAGGGUUUCGGCUGUGAAGAGUCAGUGGCCAUAGACGUGGAGCCAUUAGCAGCAAUCUGGGUGUCUGAGAUGUAGUUAUUUUGGAUAUCCGAUUCGUAGUCGGAGGGCUGGGCGAGGUUUGAGGGAUUGCGGUUGUGGGAAGAUCGGUGGGAAGGUUGUUGAGGAUUGCUGUUGGACACGUUAUUGCGUCGGCUUUGACCGCGUCUGAGAGUCAUGGCUGUGGCUGCUCUGUUAUGAUACUGUAUAACAGAUAUAUUGCUGUUGGGGG